This 315-nucleotide ribosomal RNA is filed under the name uncultured bacterium. RNAcentral's name for it is "bacterial SSU rRNA". It matches the Rfam family "Bacterial small subunit ribosomal RNA", at positions 28 to 334 of the family's 1533-position model. The record is from RNAcentral.
GAUAAACGCUGGCGGCGCACAUAAGACAUGCAAGUCGAACGGACUUAACCAUUAGUUUACUAUUGGAGCGGUUAGUGGCGGACUGGUGAGUAACGCGUAAGCAAUCUGCCUAUCAGAGGGGAAUAACAGUGAGAAAUCACUGCUAAUACCGCAUAUGCCAUAAUUACCACAUGGUAAUAGUGGGAAAGGAGCAAUCCGCUAAUAGAUGAGCUUGCGUCUGAUUAGUUAGUUGGUGGGGUAACGGCCUACCAAGACGACGAUCAGUAGCCGGACUGAGAGGUUGAACGGCCACAUUGGGACUGAGAUACGGCCCAG